UCAAACUCAGAAAGAUUUUACAACUUUUUUCUAAAUGUGGCUCUUCUAGAGUGUGUUCCAUUCCUUCUUUUCUUAGGGUUACUGCAUCAUCAUUUUCCUACUUCUGUCAUAAGGAUUCGAAGUGAUCUUCACAUAGCACCACCUCAUAAACCCAAACACUACGAAAUUCCAGUAUAAAAAUACAAAUGAGUAAAAGUGAUGCUCAUUCUCCUCCCACUGUACCCCCAACUCAAACGGAAGACAUUUCUAAGAAGAAAAAUGAUGAUAGUUCAACCUCACCAUCAAUACAAGCAAAUAAGAGUCCAUCAACUUCAAAAGUGGCAAAAGACUCGAAGCCACUCGAUUCUUUAUCAUCAACUCAAGAAGAUCCAAGCACUUCCAAUCCCAAAGUUGAUAAGAAAAAAAAUGAUAAUACUUCAACAUCGUCGUCAACACAAGAAGAUAAAAAUUUAUCAAGCUUAGAAGAGAAAAAUGAGUCGAAGCCAACCACUUCUCCACCACGUGCUUAAAUUUCGAGGACUCAGAAUCUUCUUCAAAUCACUUAAAGAUGGGGUUAUAUGCUUUACGAUGAACUUUAAGAGAAAUAUUAGCUCAUGUUACAAUUGCACCACAACAGUGUUGCUUAUGAUUAAAAGAAAUAAAAAGGUGUUUUAACACCAUUAUGUGUAUUUUUUUAUCUUUUUGUUUCAAGUUUACAGAGUAAGAGUAGAGUGUGACAUGUUGAUAUUUGAAUUUCUUUCAAUAAAAAGUUAUGGUAGAAAUUGGCAUGGAACUUAUUGGAUUGUACAAUCUUAUAUAGGCUUAAAUGGUUACUUCGUCCCCAUGUUAAGGGAUGAAUUUCUGUUUAGUACCCGGUUUUAAAAAUGCUUCUAUUUUAUCUCAAAGUAGUAUAAAUUGCAUCAAUUAGAUCCCUUCUGU
Non-coding RNA from Vigna umbellata (rice bean), 918 nucleotides. The record is from RefSeq and is a predicted model, not a curated record. NCBI's taxonomy places the organism in Eukaryota, Viridiplantae, Streptophyta, Magnoliopsida, Fabales, Fabaceae.